UACGAAGGUCCCAAGCGUUGUUCGGAAUCACUGGGCGUAAAGGGCGCGUAGGCGGCUUUUCAAGUCGGGGGUGAAAGCCUGUGGCUCAACCACAGAAUUGCCUUCGAUACUGUUAGGCUUGAGACCGGAAGAGGUGAGUGGAACUGCGAGUGUAGAGGUGAAAUUCGUAGAUAUUCGCAAGAACACCAGUGGCGAAGGCGGCUCACUGGUCCGGUUCUGACGCUGAGGCGCGAAAGCGUGGGGAGCAAACAGG
This 253-nucleotide ribosomal RNA is filed under the name uncultured bacterium. RNAcentral describes it as "partial 16S ribosomal RNA". It matches the Rfam family "Bacterial small subunit ribosomal RNA", at positions 524 to 776 of the family's 1533-position model. The record is from RNAcentral.